CCUCCUUACCAUUACGUCGAAAGACGCACUUGAUGCAGUGCCUACACAGAUUGUUUUGUUCGUAAAUGAACAAACUUGGAUGCUUACGAUACUCCUGAGAGUACUGUGAGUCCUCCUUGCGCAAAAGUCAUGACAAAAAGCGUCAUGAUUUUGCACGGUAGUUCUUUAACAAUUUGGAAAGCUGAUAUUAAUAGUAAUCAAUCAAAAUUGAGUAACUGAGAAGUCGAAAGACGUACUUUUUACUCUACUUGACUUGAAUUGCUUGUUAUCAACAUUGAUUGAUAGCAAGGCAAUUCUUCCGAUUAGCUUGUCAUGCAUACAACAUUACCCUUGUCCGAUUUCA
This 343-nucleotide unclassified non-coding RNA is filed under the name uncultured Alteromonadaceae bacterium. RNAcentral's name for it is "partial 16S-23S ribosomal RNA intergenic spacer". Lineage: Bacteria; Pseudomonadati; Pseudomonadota; Gammaproteobacteria; Alteromonadales; Alteromonadaceae. The record is from RNAcentral.